Molecule: ribosomal RNA, 1442 nt
Filed under: uncultured organism
Description: SSU rRNA
Rfam family: Bacterial small subunit ribosomal RNA
Source: RNAcentral
AGGCUUAACACAUGCAAGUCGAGGGGCAGCAUUUUAGUUUGCUUGCAAACUGAAGAUGGCGACCGGCGCACGGGUGAGUAACACGUAUCCAACCUGCCGAUAACUCCGGGAUAGCCUUUCGAAAGAAAGAUUAAUACCGGAUAGCAUACGAAUAUCGCAUGAUAUUUUUAUUAAAGAAUUUCGGUUAUCGAUGGGGAUGCGUUCCAUUAGUUUGUUGGCGGGGUAACGGCCCACCAAGACUACGAUGGAUAGGGGUUCUGAGAGGAAGGUCCCCCACAUUGGAACUGAGACACGGUCCAAACUCCUACGGGAGGCAGCAGUGAGGAAUAUUGGUCAAUGGGCGCGAGCCUGAACCAGCCAAGUAGCGUGAAGGAUGAAGGCUCUAUGGGUCGUAAACUUCUUUUAUAUGGGAAUAAAGUUUUCCACGUGUGGAAUUUUGUAUGUACCAUAUGAAUAAGGAUCGGCUAACUCCGUGCCAGCAGCCGCGGUAAUACGGAGGAUCCGAGCGUUAUCCGGAUUUAUUGGGUUUAAAGGGAGCGUAGGUGGAUUGUUAAGUCAGUUGUGAAAGUUUGCGGCUCAACCGUAAAAUUGCAGUUGAAACUGGCAGUCUUGAGUACAGUAGAGGUGGGCGGAAUUCGUGGUGUAGCGGUGAAAUGCUUAGAUAUCACGAAGAACUCCGAUUGCGAAGGCAGCUCACUAGACUGUCACUGACACUGAUGCUCGAAAGUGUGGGUAUCAAACAGGAUUAGAUACCCUGGUAGUCCACACAGUAAACGAUGAAUACUCGCUGUUUGCGAUAUACAGUAAGCGGCCAAGCGAAAGCAUUAAGUAUUCCACCUGGGGAGUACGCCGGCAACGGUGAAACUCAAAGGAAUUGACGGGGGCCCGCACAAGCGGAGGAACAUGUGGUUUAAUUCGAUGAUACGCGAGGAACCUUACCCGGGCUUAAAUUGCAACAGAAUAUAUUGGAAACAGUAUAGCCGUAAGGCUGUUGUGAAGGUGCUGCAUGGUUGUCGUCAGCUCGUGCCGUGAGGUGUCGGCUUAAGUGCCAUAACGAGCGCAACCCUUAUCUUUAGUUACUAACAGGUCAUGCUGAGGACUCUAGAGAGACUGCCGUCGUAAGAUGUGAGGAAGGUGGGGAUGACGUCAAAUCAGCACGGCCCUUACGUCCGGGGCUACACACGUGUUACAAUGGGGGGUACAGAAGGCGGCUACCUGGUGACAGGAUGCUAAUCCCAAAAACCUCUCUCAGUUCGGAUCGAAGUCUGCAACCCGACUUCGUGAAGCUGGAUUCGCUAGUAAUCGCGCAUCAGCCAUGGCGCGGUGAAUACGUUCCCGGGCCUUGUACACACCGCCCGUCAAGCCAUGAAAGCCGGGGGUACCUGAAGUACGUAACCGCAAGGAGCGUCCUAGGGUAAAACUGGUAAUUGGGACUAAGUCAU